Molecule: long non-coding RNA, 599 nt
Organism: Ornithodoros turicata
Lineage: Eukaryota; Metazoa; Arthropoda; Arachnida; Ixodida; Argasidae
Exons: 3
Source: RefSeq, a predicted model, not a curated record
CUAGGAACACAGCAGGGAACCCGUGAUCAAACCCAACGAAAGCAUUAAGGUCCUGCUGCUCACUAGAGGAACAACACAGUCGAUCUCGCUCAACUUUGACUUUCAGUAGAGGAACUAAGGGAACCUCUACCGUCAAAUUGAAAAGAACCAGAGUGCGUUUACCUGCUGCUUCAGUCAACUCAAGCGACGAGGUUAAGAACAAUGCCAUCGCUCGUCACGAUCUGUUUCCUUGCGGCGUUGGGCUUUCUAACACCGAAUACCGAUGCGAGCGCCCUUCAAGACUGGGAGCCUCCGCAAUGCGAUCCUGGAAUGGAAUUCUCCCGGUGCGAAGAUCCAUGUCCUCGCAUCUGUGGCCAGCCACAACCACUGUUGUGCGACGUCCUCUGCGGAUCUGCCUGCAAGUGCAAAAUGGGCUUCAUUCGCUCUGGUAGCGCAGAUGGGCCUUGUAUCCCAGAAGAUGAAUGCCACCUUCUUCCGGAAGACAUCUCUGGAAAAUCCGGUCUCAGUGGGCUUUUGAUGCCUUUGCCGGGGCCUCUGGAAAGCUCCCCUAUGCGUGUGUAUGACUUGCAAUAAACGUGUUGCCUCAUAUACAAACCGUG